This 298-nucleotide ribosomal RNA is filed under the name bacterium endosymbiont of Otiorhynchus rugosostriatus. Its description in RNAcentral is "partial 16S ribosomal RNA". It matches the Rfam family "Bacterial small subunit ribosomal RNA", at positions 29 to 336 of the family's 1533-position model. The record is from RNAcentral.
AACAAACGCUGGCGGCAAGCUUAACACAUGCAAGUCGAACGGGAGUAUAUUAUAGUUUACUAUAAUACGCUCUAGUGGCAGACGGGUGAGUAAUAUAUAGGAAUCUACCUAGUAGUAUGAAAUAAUUGUUAGAAAUGACAGCUAAUAUCAUAUACGCCUUACGAGGGAAAGAUUUAUCGCUAUUAGAUGAGCCUAUAUUGGAUUAGCUAGUUGGUAAGGUAAUGGCUUACCAAGGCAGUGAUCUAUAGCUGGUCUGAGAGGAUGAUCAGCCACACUGGAAUUGAGAUACGGUCCAGAC